UUCCAUGUUGCAUUUAUUUUUGUUCAGUGAAUAGGGCAUGGUUGGCUGUCAUCAGGUAAAGGUGUAUAUGGUUGGCUGUCAUCGGGUAAAGGUGUAUAUGGUUGGCUGUCAUCGGGUAAAGGUGUAUAUGGUUGGCUGUCAUCGGGUAAAGGUGUAUAUGGUUGGCUGUCAUCGGGUAAAGGUGUAUAUGGUUGGCUGUCAUCGGGUAAAGGUGUAUAUGGUUGGCUGUCAUCGGGUAAAGGUGUAUAUGGUUGGCUGUCAUCGGGUAAAGGUGUAUAUGGUUGGCUGUCAUCGGGUAAAGGUGUAUAUGGUUGGCUGUCAUCGGGUAAAGGUGUAUAUGGUUGGCUGUCAUCGGGUAAAGGUGUAUAUGGUUGGCUGUCAUCGGGUAAAGGUGUAUAUGGUUGGCUGUCAUCGGGUAAAGGUGUAUAUGGUUGGCUGUCAUCGGGUAAAGGUGUAUAUGGUUGGCUGUCAUCGGGUAAAGGUGUAUAUGGUUGGCUGUCAUCGGGUAAAGGUGUAUAUGGUUGGCUGUCAUCAGGUAAAGGUGUAUAUGGUUGGCUGUCAUCAGGUAAAGGUGUAUAUGGUUGGCUGUCAUCAGGUAAAGGUGUAUAUGGUUGGCUGUCAUCAGGUAAAGGUGUAUAUGGUUGGCUGUCAUCAGGUAAAGGUGUAUAUGGUUGGCUGUCAUCAGGUAAAGGUGUAUAUGGUUGGCUGUCAUCAGGUAAAGGUGUAUAUGGUUGGCUGUCAUCAGGUAUAGGUGUAUAUGGUUGGCUGUCAUCAGUCUUCAGGUAAAGGUGUAUAUGGUUGGCUGUCAUCAGUCAUCAGGUAAAGGUGUAUAUGGUUGGCUGUCAUCAGGUAAAGGUGUAUAUGGUUGGCUGUCAUCAGGUAAAGGUGUAUAUGGUUGGCUGUCAUCAGGUAAAGGUGUAUAUGGUUGGCUGUCAUCAGGUAAAGGUGUAUAUGGUUGGCUGUCAUCAGGUAAAGGUGUAUAUGGUUGGCUGUCAUCAGGUAAAGAUGUAUAUGGUUGGCUGUCAUCAGGUAAAGGUGUAUAUGGUUGGCUGUCAUCAGGUAAAGCUCUUUAUGGUUGGCUGUCAUCAGGUAAAGGUGUAUAUGGUUAAGGUGUAUAUGGUUGGCUGUCAUCAGUCAUCAGGUAAAG
This is a long non-coding RNA of Oncorhynchus keta (chum salmon), 1147 nucleotides long. RefSeq lists it as uncharacterized. The record is from RefSeq and is a predicted model, not a curated record. NCBI's taxonomy places the organism in Eukaryota, Metazoa, Chordata, Actinopteri, Salmoniformes, Salmonidae. The transcript is spliced from 4 exons.